This 301-nucleotide ribosomal RNA is filed under the name uncultured bacterium. RNAcentral's name for it is "partial 16S ribosomal RNA". It matches the Rfam family "Bacterial small subunit ribosomal RNA", at positions 509 to 807 of the family's 1533-position model. The record is from RNAcentral.
CAGUCGCCACGGUAAUACAGAGGGUUCGAGCGUUAAUCGGAUUUACUGGGCGUAAAGCGUGCGUAGGCGGCUUUUUAAGUCGGAUGUGAAAUCCCUGAGCUUAACUUAGGAAUUGCAUUCGAUACUGGGAAGCUAGAGUAUGGGAGAGGAUGGUAGAAUUCCAGGUGUAGCGGUGAAAUGCGUAGAGAUCUGGAGGAAUACCGAUGGCGAAGGCAGCCAUCUGGCCUAAUACUGACGCUGAGGUACGAAAGCAUGGGGAGCAAACAGGAUUAGAUACCCGGGUAGUCCCUGUCUCUUAUAC